CCUACGGGUGGCAGCAGUCGAGAAUCAUUCACAAUGGGGGAAACUCUGAUGGUGCGACGCCGCGUGGGGGAAUGAUGGUCUUCGGAUUGUAAACCCCUGUCAUGUGGGAGCAAAUUAAAAAGAUAGUACCACAAGAGGAAUAGACGGCUAAUUCUGUGCCAGAAGCCGCGGUAAUACAGAGGUCUCAAUCGUUGUUCGGAAUCACUGGUCGUAAAGCGUGCGGAGGCUGUUUCGUAAGUCGUGUGUGAAAGGUGCGGGCUCAACCCGCGGACGGCACAUGAUACUGCGAGACUAGAGUACAGGAGGGGGAAGCGGAAUUCGUGGUGUAGCAGUGAAAUGCGUAGAUAUCGAGAGGAACACUCGUGGCGAAGGCGGGUUCCUGGACAUUAACUGACGCUGAGGCACGAAGGCCAGGGGAGCGAAAGGGAUUAGAUACCCUAGUAGUC
This 446-nucleotide ribosomal RNA is filed under the name uncultured bacterium. Its description in RNAcentral is "partial 16S ribosomal RNA". It matches the Rfam family "Bacterial small subunit ribosomal RNA", at positions 338 to 795 of the family's 1533-position model. The record is from RNAcentral.